Drosophila arizonae is the source of this 478-nucleotide long non-coding RNA. The record is from RefSeq and is a predicted model, not a curated record. Lineage: Eukaryota; Metazoa; Arthropoda; Insecta; Diptera; Drosophilidae.
UGCAGAAUAUAAACAAAUGCUAUAAAUAAUCACAUUUCAUUAUUGGUGAGGCCACACACACACACAGCACGCACGACGCUGAUGUCGGCGUCGACGUCGACGUCGAUACCGACGGAGACGGCAACGCCAACGCACCAAAUAGCGAUUGUCUGUGCGCGUUUUUUGACUCGCCAAUUUAGCAACGUGGCGCAGGAACAGGCAAAAGCAACAACAAUAAUAACACAGCAACAGUUUCCAAUAAAUAAACAUAACAGCACUCCCGGGGCAGACGGUAGCACUUGGUAUGCAGCCCACUGUGCGGCCGCUGACAGCGUCGUCGACAUUUGAGCAAUGUGCGCGGCCCCGCUAGGCAUACAAAUUAAAGCCCAGCUCAAUUCCAGCGUGCCUCUGGCUUUUCAAUAUCAUCAUCGGCAGCAAAAGUAAAUUGUGGCUACGCGUGCGCGUGCGCUGAAUAUAUUGAAGCUCAUUAAAAGCAAAG